This 245-nucleotide ribosomal RNA is filed under the name uncultured bacterium. RNAcentral describes it as "partial 16S ribosomal RNA". It matches the Rfam family "Bacterial small subunit ribosomal RNA", at positions 113 to 351 of the family's 1533-position model. The record is from RNAcentral.
ACACGUGGGUAACCUGCCUUAUAGUGGGGGAUAGCCUUUCGAAAGGAAGAUUAAUACCGCAUAAGAUUGUAGUAUCGCAUGAUAUAGCAAUUAAAGGAGCAAUUCGCUAUAAGAUGGACCCGCGUCGCAUUAGCUAGUUGGUGAGGUAAUGGCUCACCAAGGCGACGAUGCGUAGCCGACCUGAGAGGGUGACCAGCCACACUGGAACUGAGACACGGUCCAGACUCCUACGGGAGGCAGGCAUG